UUUUCGCAGAAUUAACGUAUACACAGCAAGCCGGUGCCUUUUAAGCCUUUGCGUUAGCUUUCCAGCUCCGAAUAACUUCGAGUACCGCACAGAAUUUCUAUACGGAGGGUUCUACAAAUUAGAUAAUCACAACGUGGAAGAUUCAGCAUCUAGAAUGCGUCGUUCGUACAGUGCUUUAUUAUCCUUACUGUUGUGUCUUCAAAUCUGUGUACAAUCCGCAGAUGCAUCGUGUCCUGAUCACAACAAACUGCCACAAGGCUACAAAUAUUGCCUCAAUGCUGACGGCCAACGGAUGG
Long non-coding RNA from Dermacentor andersoni, 296 nucleotides. RefSeq lists it as uncharacterized. The record is from RefSeq and is a predicted model, not a curated record. Lineage: Eukaryota; Metazoa; Arthropoda; Arachnida; Ixodida; Ixodidae.